Molecule: small nuclear RNA, 312 nt
Filed under: Meriones unguiculatus (Mongolian gerbil)
Lineage: Eukaryota; Metazoa; Chordata; Mammalia; Rodentia; Muridae
Description: 7SK RNA (ENSMUGG00000005310.1)
Rfam family: 7SK RNA
About the family: 7SK was discovered as an abundant small nuclear RNA in the mid-70s but a possible function has only recently been suggested. Two independent studies have found that 7SK RNA binds the CDK9/cyclin T complex (known as elongation factor P-TEFb). P-TEFb activates transcription by phosphorylating the C-terminal domain of RNA polymerase II.
Source: RNAcentral
GGAUGUGAACAAACAGGCUGAGACUCAUGUCAUCCUAUUGGCCAUCACAGCUGAUUCCACUGAGCUGGUUUAUUAGAUGGGUAUCCUCUUCCUUCUUAGCUGUUCCAUACAAUCCCUUUCCAAGCUGUAUACUUGGUGGAAGGGGAUGAUCUUUAUGUAUAAGGGAAGAAUGUUCUUCAGUCAUGUAUAUAGAGUACCUAUAAUUCCCUACUAGAACCACCAAACAGCAUGUCAGUAACAAAUAGACCAUAAGGGCCAGUGAGAUGGCUCAGCAGGUAAAGGCAAUAGCCACCAAAGUUUAGGACUUGAGUU